RNAcentral lists this ribosomal RNA (446 nucleotides) under uncultured bacterium. RNAcentral describes it as "bacterial SSU rRNA". It matches the Rfam family "Bacterial small subunit ribosomal RNA", at positions 330 to 793 of the family's 1533-position model. The record is from RNAcentral.
ACCAGACUCCUACGGGAGGCAGCAGUGGGGGAUAUUGCACAAUGGGGGGAACCCUGAUGCAGCGACGCCGCGUGGGUGAAGAAGCGCCUCGGCGCGUAAAGCCCUGUCAGCAGGGAAGAAAAUGACGGUACCUGAAGAAGAAGCCCCGGCUAACUACGUGCCAGCAUCCGCGGUAAUACGUAGGGGGCAAGCGUUAUCCGGAUUUACUGGGUGUAAAGGGGGCGCAGACGGCGAUGCAAGCCAGGAGUGAAAGCCCGGGGCCCAACCCCGGGACUGCUCUUGGAACUGCGUGGCUGGAGUGCAGGAGGGGCAGGCGGAAUUCCUGGUGUAGCGGUGAAAUGCGUAGAUAUCAGGAGGAACACCGGUGGCGAAGGCGGCCUGCUGGACUGUAACUGACGUUGAGGCUCGAAAGCGUGGGGAGCAAACAGGAUUAGAUACCCCCGUAG